GGCUACCUGGCGCAAUGGUAGCGCGUUUGGCUUCGAUGGCUCAACGGCUCCUGGCAGACACCAAAAGGUUGCAGGUUCGAGUCCUGCGGUGGUCA
This 95-nucleotide transfer RNA is filed under the name Coprinellus micaceus. It matches the Rfam family "tRNA". Rfam says of the family: Transfer RNA (tRNA) molecules are approximately 80 nucleotides in length. Their secondary structure includes four short double-helical elements and three loops (D, anti-codon, and T loops). Further hydrogen bonds mediate the characteristic L-shaped molecular structure. tRNAs have two regions of fundamental functional importance: the anti-codon, which is responsible for specific mRNA codon recognition, and the 3' end, to which the tRNAs corresponding amino acid is attached (by aminoacyl-tRNA synthetases). tRNAs cope with the degeneracy of the genetic code in two manners: having more than one tRNA (with a specific anti-codon) for a particular amino acid; and 'wobble' base-pairing, i.e. permitting non-standard base-pairing at the 3rd anti-codon position. The record is from Rfam by way of RNAcentral. Lineage: Eukaryota; Fungi; Basidiomycota; Agaricomycetes; Agaricales; Psathyrellaceae.